GGUGUGCUGGCGCAAUGGUAAGCAUGUUCUCCAGAGGAGCUUAAGGUUCUGGGUUCGAGUCCCAGGUACAUCG
RNAcentral lists this transfer RNA (73 nucleotides) under Clonostachys rosea f. rosea IK726. It matches the Rfam family "tRNA". Rfam says of the family: Transfer RNA (tRNA) molecules are approximately 80 nucleotides in length. The record is from RNAcentral. Lineage: Eukaryota; Fungi; Ascomycota; Sordariomycetes; Hypocreales; Bionectriaceae.